Molecule: ribosomal RNA, 440 nt
Filed under: uncultured bacterium
Lineage: Bacteria
Description: partial 16S ribosomal RNA
Rfam family: Bacterial small subunit ribosomal RNA
Source: RNAcentral
CCUACGGGUGGCAGCAGUGGGGAAUAUUGCACAAUGGGGGAAACCCUGAUGCAGCGACGCCGCGUGAGUGAAGAAGGAUUUCGGUACGUAAAGCUCUAUCAGCAGGGAAGAAAAUGACGGUACCUGACUAAGAAGCCCCGGCUAACUACGUGCCAGCAGCCGCGGUAAUACGUAGGGGGAAAGCGUUAUCCGGAUUUACUGGGUGUAAAGGGAGCGUAGACGGCAGCUCAAGUCUGGAGUGAAAUCCCAUGGCUUAACCAUGGAACUGCUUUGGAAACUGUGCAGCUAGAGUGCAGGAGAGGUAAGCGGAAUUCCUAGUGUAGCGGUGAAAUGCGUAGAUAUUAGGAGGAACACCAGUGGCGAAGGCGGCUUACUGGACUGUAACUGACGUUGAGGCUCGAAAGCGUGGGGAGCAAACAGGAUUAGAUACCCGAGUAGUC